Molecule: long non-coding RNA, 1260 nt
Organism: Canis lupus familiaris (dog)
Lineage: Eukaryota; Metazoa; Chordata; Mammalia; Carnivora; Canidae
Exons: 3
Source: RefSeq, a predicted model, not a curated record
UGUCCCGCAGAAAAUGUUUUUAACGAAUCUGGGCUGGGUUUUGAAUCUUCAGGCAUGAACCCCGGGCUUCCCAGCCUCCAGAACCCUGAGAAACAAGUGUCAGCUAUUUCAGGACCCGAGUCUAUGGCCUUUUAUGGCAGCAGCCCUAGCUGACCACGACAGGCUCUUUGGAGCCACUCAGCUACGGAGCCUGGGAGAACGUGAGCAGAAGCAAGGCUCUGAGGUCACUGCUUUCCAGAAGCACCGGUAGGGGUGAGGACGGAUUGUAGCAAAGAAAGAAAUCUUUGAUUUGAGAAAUCACGGCAGCUCCCCAAGUGAACCAGUGAGCCCCCCAGCUGGCUCCCGUCCAGGUUGGCCCUUGCUCCUGAGCCCUGACUCCGUCUGCACGAACCCAGCCUGGCUUCACCCGGGGCCCCUCGGAGAGACGCCGAGCUCUUGGGCUUCUGCGGCGUCUCCCUGAGAGGCUCUGUCAGCGACGGGACGCAGAGUUGAGUUGCCCCCACCUCCUGAGUAAUCCCAGGGUCUGAGUCGAGGGUCCAGACAAGGAGCCCCAGGCCGGCGGACACCGGUCAGCUGUUUCUAGGACCCCAAGAGGUCAUGGGACCCCAAGCCACCAUGCCCUGGCCCCAAGGAGCCUCCUGGCCUCAGCGAUCUCCAGCCCCUGCUGUUUCCUGGCCCCCUGCAGCUGUCUCUUUCCAGAACUCUGGUUCCAGGGUUUGUCCAGGCCCCUAAGGUUGGGACGGUGUCUGGGACCUGCGGGCCUCCUGGCCCCUCUGAGAGGUUCCACCCUUGACGAGCCUCCUUCUGGCAGGAGGCCCCGAGCCUGGGGCCUUGCUCACCCUACUGUGCGUGUAGAGCAUGACCUGAGAGCUCCAGCAGGGCCAAGGGUCCCCAUGAGCUUCGUGAUGCCCCAUGGCCCCUCCCGAGGGGACACGCCUCCCGGCGGAGGAGCAGCAGCCAGCGAGGCCACGGCAAGGCCAGCACACAGGUCAUCGGAUCUGCUGGAUCUAAUGACGUGUGUUAUGUGUCUUGUCAUCCUCAUUUUCCAACUUUCUUAUUUAGUGUAUUUUACAGAACUCUCAGGCCAUAAUGAACUGAAAACAAGAAACAAAACUGGCCCUGGACCGCAGCGAGUCUGGAAGCAAGCAGGUGUCAGAGGCACAGGGUCCCCGGGGCGUGACUGCAGGGGCCUGGCCCCGUGGGGGGCCGUCCUCUGGGGCUGGAGCCGAGUGUCCACCGCAGGACCCAUCCCGUGGACGU